GGGUGCCAUUUGGGAUCUCCCAUCCUGUGAGGAAACAGUUCCUUUCAGAAGUUUAAAAACCUUUUUUUCAGAUACCUAAAAACUGACAGCUGAAGUUUUCAGAGAGAUUUGGCCACCUGGCUCACAUAAAAAUGUAUGAGAGGUAGGCAUCCAAAUCCCUUAGUCAGCUUUGAAAAAUCUCAACCAAAAACUUUCUGAAAUUUCGAAAGCUGUCCUGACUCAAGAGCCAAGCUCCCCAUCCAAGCAACUCCUCAACAGCAACUGCAGAAGGUACGAGGUGUGGAUCUCAGUGGGAGCAGGAGUCCUCUACACAUCAAAAGUGACAGCAUGCCACAAUCCAGAGAUGGCAGAGGAAGAGUCAGAUGCCCACAACUGAGGAGCAUGGAGAGAGCAAGCCCUUACGCUCCCAUGCCACAGGAUUUAAGCCUUGGUCCUUACUCUGUCAACACUGAAGCCAACGAGGGGGCUGGACAUGAGCUGCAGGCCUGCGUUUAAUGGGAUUGAAGGAGGCAGGGGCAUUCUUCAGGAACAUCAUCAAGCCUGGUAUAACAAGGCACCAGCGGCACAUUCUUAACAAAUGGCGCUGCAGCAAGCUAUUAGAAGCCCUAUUAACGAC
This is a long non-coding RNA of Dermochelys coriacea (leatherback sea turtle), 616 nucleotides long. RefSeq lists it as uncharacterized. The transcript has 3 exons. The record is from RefSeq and is a predicted model, not a curated record. NCBI's taxonomy places the organism in Eukaryota, Metazoa, Chordata, Testudines, Dermochelyidae.